RNAcentral lists this ribosomal RNA (245 nucleotides) under uncultured Parabacteroides sp. RNAcentral describes it as "partial 16S ribosomal RNA". It matches the Rfam family "Bacterial small subunit ribosomal RNA", at positions 524 to 768 of the family's 1533-position model. Lineage: Bacteria; Pseudomonadati; Bacteroidota; Bacteroidia; Bacteroidales; Tannerellaceae. The record is from RNAcentral.
UACGGAGGAUCCGAGCGUUAUCCGGAUUUAUUGGGUUUAAAGGGUGCGUAGGCGGCCUUUUAAGUCAGCGGUGAAAGUCUGUGGCUCAACCAUAGAAUUGCCGUUGAAACUGGGGGGCUUGAGUAUGUUUGAGGCAGGCGGAAUGCGUGGUGUAGCGGUGAAAUGCAUAGAUAUCACGCAGAACCCCGAUUGCGAAGGCAGCCUGCCAAGCCAUUACUGACGCUGAUGCACGAAAGCGUGGGGAU